This 66-nucleotide small nucleolar RNA is filed under the name Portunus trituberculatus (swimming crab). Lineage: Eukaryota; Metazoa; Arthropoda; Malacostraca; Decapoda; Portunidae. The record is from RNAcentral.
UUGCCAUAAUGAUGAUUGUAUAUCGCCCCAGUCUGAUGUUGUGAGUGAUUGAUGUUCUGAAAGUUU